This 253-nucleotide ribosomal RNA is filed under the name uncultured bacterium. RNAcentral describes it as "partial 16S ribosomal RNA". It matches the Rfam family "Bacterial small subunit ribosomal RNA", at positions 524 to 776 of the family's 1533-position model. The record is from RNAcentral.
UACGUAGGGGGCAAGCGUUGUCCGGAUUUAUGGGGCGUAAAGAGCGUGUAGGCGGCUAGAUAGGUCCGUUGUGAAAACUCGAGGCUCAACCUCGAGACGCCGGUGGAAACCAUCUAGCUAGAGUCCGGAAGAGGAGAGUGGAAUUCCUGGUGUAGCGGUGAAAUGCGCAGAUAUCAGGAAGAACCCCCGUGGCGAAGGCGGCUCUCUGGGACGUGACUGACGCUGAGACGCGAAAGCGUGGGGAGCGAACAGG